UCUCAAAUCCUCACACCAUUCAUCUUUUAGAGUAGAAAUGACUGACUGAACUUGUGUUGUUGUAAUAUUGGAGGAAAGUUGCUACAUCCUUGCCUCUGACAUUGAGAGACUUGUUUGUGUUUGUGUUAAUAAAAAGUCAUAUUUUCACAACUUCUGCAGCUGUGAAGCCAGUUCUAUAUCCAAGCUUAGACAACUGGGAUACUGAAAGCUCAGGUUCCUAAAGGCCCAUGUUUAAAGUUAAAGUUAAAGACUGGCCAUUUUCCCAUCUUCCUGUACUCCGGAAGGGCCCCGAUGCUCUUUGCCAUGUCACAAGUCAGCUACGCAGCAAACACAUUCUUUCCCACAGUGAGAUGUCAUUAUCAUCCCUGAGGGGAGAGAUUUUAAAGGCCACUUGCUAUGUGUGUGUUUGAUUGAUUCUGGACUGGUGGAUUUUGUCACGUACACACCCAAGCAUCAAAAGAUUUGGCAGCCUCCCUGUCCUUUAAAUAGGAAAAUCUUGGAGGAGGCGAUGUCUUGGAUCUCCACAAGUCCUUAAGGCUAUUUUAUUGCUAAAAGUACAUUUUAUUUCCAACUACAACUCAGCAGAAGGGUCAUUGUGCCCAUCUUUAGUGCACAAGCAUAAAUGACAGCAAUGAUUGUUCAUGGGAACAUUAUAAUAAUAACAUUACACACAGACUUUAUGUUCAGAGCAGCCAACAACAGCACUCAACACAUGAGGAUGAUUAUAGUGGGUUCUGCUCCUAAAGGACAACUGAAACAAAUUAAAUGCUUUUCUCUAAAAUAUUAAUCGAAAGAACCUUCUCAUAACCCUCUGAAAAAAACAUCUUAAACCAACCUGAGUUGAUUUUUGGUCUUAUUUCGCCUUUCUGCCUUGUAAUGCUGGUCUGUUGGCUGGUUUCAGAAGAGUUUGGGCACUUUUCAGGCGGUCAGGCUGAGAGAUAAAUCCAUACUUAAAAUAUUCUCAAGACUGGAAUCCAUCCAGUUUGAGGAUAUGAAACUUUUUUGAUAUUUUGAGCCG
Cyprinus carpio carpio is the source of this 1018-nucleotide long non-coding RNA. The record is from Ensembl. NCBI's taxonomy places the organism in Eukaryota, Metazoa, Chordata, Actinopteri, Cypriniformes, Cyprinidae.